RNAcentral lists this ribosomal RNA (504 nucleotides) under uncultured bacterium. RNAcentral describes it as "partial 16S ribosomal RNA". It matches the Rfam family "Bacterial small subunit ribosomal RNA", at positions 28 to 507 of the family's 1533-position model. The record is from RNAcentral.
GACGAACGCUGGCGGCGUGCUUAACACAUGCAAGUCGAACGGUGAAGCGCUUGCCUUUUUGGUGGGUGUGGAUGAGUGGCGAACGGGUGAGUAACACGUGAGUAACCUGCCCUCUUCUUCUGGAUAACCUCAUGAAAGUGGGGCUAAUACGGGGUAUUCCGGGUCUGUCGCAUGGCGGGUUUGGGAAAGAUUGCGCCUUUGGGUGUUUUCGGUGGGGGAUGGGCUCGCGGCCUAUCAGCUUGUUGGUGGGGUGAUGGCCUACCAAGGCGGUGACGGGUAGCCGGCCUGAGAGGGUGGACGGCCACACUGGGACUGAGACACGGCCCAGACUCCUGCGGGAGGCAGCAGGGGGGAAUAUUGCACAAUGGGCGCAAGCCUGAUGCAGCGACGCCGCGUGAGGGAUGGAGGCCUUCGGGUUGUGAACCUCUUUCGCCAGUGAAGCAGGCCUGCUCCUGUGUGGGUGGGUUGACGGUAGCUGGAUAAGAAGCGCCGGCUAACUACGUG